Molecule: ribosomal RNA, 853 nt
Filed under: uncultured Prochlorococcus sp.
Lineage: Bacteria; Bacillati; Cyanobacteriota; Cyanophyceae; Synechococcales; Prochlorococcaceae
Description: bacterial SSU rRNA
Rfam family: Bacterial small subunit ribosomal RNA
Source: RNAcentral
CAAGUCGAACGAACCUUCGGGUUAGUGGCGGACGGGUGAGUAACGCGUGGGAAUCUGCCCUCAGGAGGGGGAUAACGGUUGGAAACGACCGCUAAUACCCCAUAUGCCGAGAGGUGAAAUGAAUUUCGCCUGAGGAUGAGCCCGCGUCUGAUUAGCUUGUUGGUGAGGUAAUGGCUCACCAAGGCUUCGAUCAGUAGCUGGUCUGAGAGGAUGAUCAGCCACACUGGGACUGAGACACGGCCCAGACUCCUACGGGAGGCAGCAGUGGGGAAUUUUCCGCAAUGGGCGAAAGCCUGACGGAGCAACGCCGCGUGAGGGACGAAGGCCUCUGGGCUGUAAACCUCUUUUCUCAAGGAAGAAGAUAUGACGGUACUUGAGGAAUAAGCCACGGCUAAUUCCGUGCCAGCAGCCGCGGUAAUACGGGAGUGGCAAGCGUUAUCCGGAAUUAUUGGGCGUAAAGCGUCCGCAGGCGGCCUUUCAAGUCUGCUGUUAAAGCGUGGAGCUUAACUCCAUCAUGGCAGUGGAAACUGAUUGGCUUGAGUAUGGUAGGGGCAGAGGGAAUUCCCGGUGUAGCGGUGAAAUGCGUAGAUAUCGGGAAGAACACCAGUGGCGAAGGCGCUCUGCUGGGCCAUUACUGACGCUCAUGGACGAAAGCCAGGGGAGCGAAAGGGAUUAGAUACCCCUGUAGUCCUGGCCGUAAACGAUGAACACUAGGUGUCGGGGGAAUCGACCCCUUCGGUGUCGUAGCUAACGCGUUAAGUGUUCCGCCUGGGGAGUACGCACGCAAGUGUGAAACUCAAAGGAAUUGACGGGGGCCCGCACAAGCGGUGGAGUAUGUGGUUUAAUUCGAUGC